Molecule: ribosomal RNA, 916 nt
Filed under: uncultured archaeon
Lineage: Archaea
Description: bacterial SSU rRNA
Rfam family: Archaeal small subunit ribosomal RNA
Source: RNAcentral
UUCCGGUUGAUCCUGCCGGAGGUUACUGCUAUCGAGGUUCGACUAAGCCAUGCGAGUCGAAUGUAGCAAUACAUGGCGAACUGCUCAGUAACACGUGGACAACCUGCCCUUAGGUUGGGUAUAAACCCGGGAAACUGGGUAUAAUACCCGAUAGGUCUCGAUUGCUGGAAUGCAUCGAGAUUUAAAGCUCCGGCGCCUAAGGAUGGGUCUGCGGCCUAUCAGGUAGUAGUGGGUGUAGCGUACCUACUAGCCUACGACGGGUACGGGUUGUGAGAGCAAGAGCCCGGAGAUGGAUUCUGAGACACGAAUCCAGGCCCUACGGGGUGCAGCAGGCGCGAAAACUUUACAAUGCUGGCAACAGCGAUAAGGGAACCUCGAGUGCCAGGUUACAAAUCUGGCUGUCGAGAUGCCUAAAAAGCAUUUCAUAGCAAGGGCCGGGCAAGACCGGUGCCAGCCGCCGCGGUAACACCGGCGGCUCGAGUGGUAACCGUUAUUAUUGGGUCUAAAGGGUCUGUAGCCGGCCGGAUAAGUCUCUUGAGAAAUCUGGCAGCUUAACUGUCAGGCUUUCAGGAGAUACUGUCUGGCUCGAGGCCGGGAGAGGUGAGAGGUACUUCAGGGGUAGGGGUGAAAUCUUGUAAUCCUUGAAGGACCACCAGUGGCGAAGGCGUCUCACCAGAACGGACCUGACGGCAAGGGACGAAAGCUAGGGGCACGAACCGGAUUAGAUACCCGGGUAGUCCUAGCCGUAAACGAUACUCGCUAGGUGUCGGCCACGGUGCGACCGUUGUCGGUGCCGUAGGGAAGCCGUGAAGCGAGCCACCUGGGAAGUACGGCCGCAAGGCUGAAACUUAAAGGAAUUGGCGGGGGAGCACCACAACGGGUGGAGCUUGCGGUUUAAUUGGAUUCAACGCCCGGA